GGUAUGAGAUGGACCCGCGUCUGAUUAGGUAGUUGGUGAGGUAACGGCCCACCAAACCUACGAUGGAUAGGGGUUCUGAGAGGAAGGUCCCCCACAUUGGUACUGAGACACGGACCAGACUCCUACGGGAGGCAGCAGUGAGGAAUAUUGGUCAAUGGAGGCAACUCUGAACCAGCCAUGCCGCGUGCAGGAUGACGGUCCUAUGGAUUGUAAACUGCUUUUGUACAGGAAGAAACCUCUCUACGUGUAGAGACUUGACGGUACUGUAAGAAUAAGGAUCGGCUAACUCCGUGCCAGCAGCCGCGGUAAUACGGAGGAUCCGAGCGUUAUCCGGAAUUAUUGGGUUUAAAGGGUUCGUAGGCGGCUUUGUAAGUCAGUGGUGAAAUUUCCUAGCUUAACUAGGACACGGCCAUUGAUACUGCAGAGCUUGAAUAAUAUGGAAGUAACUAGAAUAUGUAGUGUAGCGGUGAAAUGCUUAGAUAUUACAUGGAAUACCAAUUGCGAAGGCAGGUUACUACGUAUUUAUUGACGCUGAUGAACGAAAGCGUGGGGAGCGAACAGGAUUAGAUACCCUGGUAGUCCACGCCGUAAACGAUGAGUGCUAAGUGUUGGAGGGUUUC
Molecule: ribosomal RNA, 620 nt
Filed under: uncultured bacterium
Lineage: Bacteria
Description: bacterial SSU rRNA
Rfam family: Bacterial small subunit ribosomal RNA
Source: RNAcentral